This 72-nucleotide transfer RNA is filed under the name Podarcis lilfordi (Lilford's wall lizard). Its description in RNAcentral is "tRNA.Lys". The stretch from base 5 to 62 matches the Rfam family "tRNA", at positions 8 to 63 of the family's 71-position model. From Rfam's summary of the family: Transfer RNA (tRNA) molecules are approximately 80 nucleotides in length. Their secondary structure includes four short double-helical elements and three loops (D, anti-codon, and T loops). Lineage: Eukaryota; Metazoa; Chordata; Lepidosauria; Squamata; Lacertidae. The record is from RNAcentral.
UGAAUAGCUCAGUCAGUACAGCAUGAGACUCUUAAUCUCAGAGUGGUGGGUUUGAGCCCCAUGCUGGGAAAA